RNAcentral lists this ribosomal RNA (253 nucleotides) under uncultured bacterium. Its description in RNAcentral is "partial 16S ribosomal RNA". It matches the Rfam family "Bacterial small subunit ribosomal RNA", at positions 524 to 776 of the family's 1533-position model. The record is from RNAcentral.
UACGGAGGGGGCUAGCGUUGUUCGGAAUUACUGGGCGUAAAGCGCACGUAGGCGGACCGACAAGUCGGGGGUGAAAUCCCGGGGCUCAACCCCGGAACUGCCUCCGAAACUGCCGGUCUGGAGGUCGAGAGAGGCGAGUGGAAUUCCGAGUGUAGAGGUGAAAUUCGUAGAUAUUCGGAGGAACACCAGUGGCGAAGGCGGCUCGCUGGCUCGAACCUGACGCUGAGGUGCGAAAGCGUGGGGAGCAAACAGG